ACUCCUACGGGAGGCAGCAGUAGGGAAUAUUGGUCAAUGGGCGAAAGCCUGAACCAGCCAUGCCGCGUGUCAGAUGAAGGUCCUCUGGAUUGUAAAUGACUUUUCUACGGGAAGAAUGAGCCGUCUGCGGACGGAAGUUGACGGUACCGUAGGAAUAAGCACCGGCUAACUACGUGCCAGCAGCCGCGGUAAUACGUAGGGGUGCAAGCGUUGUCCGGAUUUACUGGGUUUAAAGGGUACGUAGGCGGUUGUGCCAAGUCUGGGGUGAAAGUUUGCAGCUCAACUGUAAAAUUGCCUUGGAUACUGGUCGGCUAGAGUAGUGGAGCGGUGGCUGGAAUUUAUAGUGUAGCGGUGAAAUGCUUAGAUACUAUGAGGAACACCAAUUGCGAAGGCAGGUCACUGGUCACUAACUGACGCUGAGGUACGAAAGUAGU
Molecule: ribosomal RNA, 434 nt
Filed under: uncultured bacterium
Lineage: Bacteria
Description: bacterial SSU rRNA
Rfam family: Bacterial small subunit ribosomal RNA
Source: RNAcentral